UAUUGGACAAUGGGGGAAACCCUGAUCCAGCGACGCCGCGUGAGUGAAGAAGUAUUUCGGUAUGUAAAGCUCUGUCAGCAGGGAAGAAAGAAAUGACGGUACCUGACCAAGAAGCCCCGGCUAACUACGUGCCAGCAGCCGCGGUAAUACGUAGGGGGCAAGCGUUAUCCGGAUUUACUGGGUGGAAAGGGAGCGUAGACGGCAAGGCAAGUCUGGAGUGAAAGCCCGUGGCCCAACCACGGGACUGCUUUGGAAACUGUAUUGCUGGAGUGCAGGAGGGGUAAGCGGAAUUCCUAGUGUAGCGGUGAAAUGCGUAGAUAUUAGGAGGAACACCGGUGGCGAAGGCGGCUUACUGGACUGUAACUGACGUUGAGGCUCGAAGGCGUGGGGAGCAAACAGG
RNAcentral lists this ribosomal RNA (400 nucleotides) under uncultured bacterium. RNAcentral describes it as "bacterial SSU rRNA". It matches the Rfam family "Bacterial small subunit ribosomal RNA", at positions 362 to 776 of the family's 1533-position model. The record is from RNAcentral.